GGUAACUACCCGAUAACAUUCUUUGGAUCAAAUGGUGUGAUUCCGCCUGAGGAUGAGUCUACUUCCUAUUAGCUAGUUGGUGUGGUAAUGGCUCACCAAGGCAACGAUGGGUAGCGGGUGUGAGAGCACGAUCCGCCUCACUGGGACUGAGACACUCGCCCAGACACCUACGGGGUGGCUGCAGUCGAGAAUCUUCGGCAAUGGGGGAAACCCUGACCGAGCGACGCCGCGUGCGGGAUGAAGGCCCUCGGGUUGUAAACCGCUGUCGUAAGGGAACAAAUCUAAGAGGGUACUCCCUUUUAGUUGAGUGAUCUUAGGAGGAAGGACGGGCUAAGUUCGUG
Molecule: ribosomal RNA, 341 nt
Filed under: uncultured bacterium
Lineage: Bacteria
Description: bacterial SSU rRNA
Rfam family: Bacterial small subunit ribosomal RNA
Source: RNAcentral